This 253-nucleotide ribosomal RNA is filed under the name uncultured bacterium. RNAcentral describes it as "partial 16S ribosomal RNA". It matches the Rfam family "Bacterial small subunit ribosomal RNA", at positions 524 to 776 of the family's 1533-position model. The record is from RNAcentral.
UACAGAGGGUGCGAGCGUUAAUCGGAAUUACUGGGCGUAAAGCGCACGUAGGUGGCGACGUAAGUCGGGUGUGAAAGCCCCGGGCUCAACCUGGGAAUUGCAUUCGAGACUGUGUCGCUGGAGUACGGAAGAGGAAGACGGAAUUCCCGGUGUAGCGGUGAAAUGCGUAGAUAUCGGGAGGAACAUCAGUGGCGAAGGCGGCCUUCUGGUCCAGUACUGACACUCAAGUGCGAAAGCGUGGGGAGCAAACAGG